GGGACGAUCAGCCACACUGGGACUGAGACAGGCCCAGACUCCUACGGGAGGCAGCAGUAGGGAAUCUUCGGCAAUGGGGGGCAACCCUGACCGAGCAACGCCGCGUGAGUGAAGAAGGUUUUCGGGAUCGUAAAGCUCUGUUGUAAGUCAAGAACGAGUGUGAGAGUGGAAAGUUCACACUGUGACGGUAGCUUACCAGAAAGGGACGGCGUAACUACGUGCCAGCAGCCGCGGUAAUACGUAGGUCCCGAGCGUUGUCCGGAUUUAUUGGGCGUAAAGCGAGCGCAGGCGGUUUGAUAAGUCUGAAGUUAAAGGCUGUGGCUCAACCAUAGUUCGCUUUGGAAACUGUCAAACUUGAGUGCAGAAGGGGAGAGUGGAAUUCCAUGUGUAGCGGUGAAAUGCGUAGAUAUAUGGAGGAACACCGGUGGCGAAAGCGGCUCUCUGGACCAUAACUGACACUCAGGGACGAAAGCUAGGGGAGCGAAUGGGAUUAGAUACCCCAGUAGUCCUAGCCGUAAACGAUGGAUACUAGGUGUUGUCUGU
RNAcentral lists this ribosomal RNA (543 nucleotides) under uncultured Bacillota bacterium. Its description in RNAcentral is "bacterial SSU rRNA". It matches the Rfam family "Bacterial small subunit ribosomal RNA", at positions 297 to 830 of the family's 1533-position model. Lineage: Bacteria; Bacillati; Bacillota. The record is from RNAcentral.